UGGAACCAGAGUCCCGGCUCGACGCGUGCUGCAACUAGCACGGCCAGCGGUGAAGAUGACGAGCUCCGAUAUUGCAACUAGAGAUUUUUAUUGCUGGAACCAGACGGUAGAAAAGCUGCAACCACUUUUGGCGGGUGCUAGAACCGGACGGCGUCGAGUUCGUUUUUGCUGAAACUGGCAAAAAAAUUGCUGGAACCAGCAAGAUUUUUUGCUGGAUGGGCAGGUGAGAGUUCUUGCUAUGACCGGCGGCGGCGAUGUGUUAUUGCCGGAAACAUGGAUAAUUUUUGCUACAACCCGCAUGUGUUUUUGCUACUGCAGGCAAAAUCAAUAGAUUUUUUGCUUUGGCUGAGAUUUUCUUUUUUGCAAGGGAACAUGAUGGUCUAAGCGGACGACGGCGACGAGCGGAGGCGGUGAUGCGUGGAGAUGCUGCAACCACAAUGGGUGUGAGCUGGAACCGGCCGGUGGGUGAGCUGCAGUCACCCACCGGGGACGAGCGUGGUCGACAUGGGUGGUCGGCGAGCAGGAGCGGCAAAACGGCGGGCAUGGGUGGCUUGGGGUCGCCGGCGAGCGUGGGUUGCAAGGGGGACGAACGCGGCGGCCGGCGAACAUGGAGGAUUUCUUUUUUGUUUCCAAAUCACGCGCUUUGACAAGGGGAGGAAGGAAAAGGACCCGGAUCUGACGGUCGUAAUAGGGCAAAUAGGACGAUAGGGCAGCGACCGGCCCAAAAGCACGAAAUAUAUACGGAAUCGCAAUGUCAGGCUAGCCCAACAUGGCACGACGAAGUUGCUUCUGUCCGUUGGAUUAAUCUGAACCUCGCCGGGUCUUUCUCCAGCUAGUUUCCUUAGAAUCUGCUUCAAGCAAUUAAUUGGUCCCGCCUAAUCUGCUUCCUAAAUUAAUUGGUCCCGAAAACCACGGUUAGUUGGAAUGGAACGUUGGUCCAUCUUUUUUUUUUGCGGGGUAACGUUGGUCCAUCUUUGUUUCCAUGUAAUUCUGUUUCUCAAACUAAUCAGACCCACAAAUCAAGCGACGACGUAUUCUUUUAUUUUAUACCAGAUGAAAUUUUGUUUCUUUUCCUAUUAAAGUUAGCUUCCCGUACAUGUUAAAUUUGCUUCGAGCGAAUAAACUUUUAUGUCCA
This 1135-nucleotide long non-coding RNA is filed under the name Triticum aestivum (bread wheat). Its description in RNAcentral is "long non-coding RNA (TAES_LNC016523)". Lineage: Eukaryota; Viridiplantae; Streptophyta; Magnoliopsida; Poales; Poaceae. The record is from RNAcentral.